CCUACGGGAGGCUGCAGUGGGGAAUAUUGGACAAUGGGCGAAAGCCUGAUCCAGCCAUGCCGCGUGUGUGAAAAAGGCCUUCGGGUUGUAAAGCACUUUCAGUGGGGAAGAAAGCCUUGGGGCUAAUACCCUCGAGGAAGGACAUCACCCACAGAAGAAGCACCGGCUAACUCCGUGCCAGCAGCCGCGGUAAUACGGAGGGUGCGAGCGUUAAUCGGAAUUACUGGGCGUAAAGCGCGCGUAGGCGGUCUGAUAAGCCGGUUGUGAAAGCCCCGGGCUCAACCUGGGAACGGCAUCCGGAACUGUCAGGCUAGAGUGCAGGAGAGGAAGGUAGAAUUCCCGGUGUAGCGGUGAAAUGCGUAGAGAUCGGGAGGAAUACCAGUGGCGAAGGCGGCCUUCUAGACUGACACUGACGCUGAGGUGCGAAAGCGUGGGUAGCAAACAGGAUUAGAUACCCCUGUAGUC
This 465-nucleotide ribosomal RNA is filed under the name Vreelandella stevensii. Its description in RNAcentral is "partial 16S ribosomal RNA". It matches the Rfam family "Bacterial small subunit ribosomal RNA", at positions 338 to 795 of the family's 1533-position model. The record is from RNAcentral. Lineage: Bacteria; Pseudomonadati; Pseudomonadota; Gammaproteobacteria; Oceanospirillales; Halomonadaceae.